This 148-nucleotide non-coding RNA is filed under the name Chlorocebus sabaeus (green monkey). The record is from Rfam by way of RNAcentral. Lineage: Eukaryota; Metazoa; Chordata; Mammalia; Primates; Cercopithecidae.
GCCGGGCAUGGUGGCGCGUGCCUGUAGUCCCAGCUACUCGGGAGGCUGAGAUGGGAGAAUAGCUUGAACCUGGGAGGCAGAAGUUGCAGUGAGCCGAGAUCAUGCCACUGCACUGCAGCCUGGGUGACAGAACAAGACUCCAUCUCAA